UCGAGGCGUGGCUCAGCUUGGCUAGAGCGCUGUGUUAGGGACGCAGAGGUCGCAAGUUCAAAUCUUGUCGCCUCGAU
RNAcentral lists this transfer RNA (77 nucleotides) under Anaerocolumna cellulosilytica. RNAcentral describes it as "tRNA-Pro". It matches the Rfam family "tRNA". Rfam says of the family: Transfer RNA (tRNA) molecules are approximately 80 nucleotides in length. Their secondary structure includes four short double-helical elements and three loops (D, anti-codon, and T loops). Lineage: Bacteria; Bacillati; Bacillota; Clostridia; Lachnospirales; Lachnospiraceae. The record is from RNAcentral.